This 207-nucleotide ribosomal RNA is filed under the name uncultured Succinivibrio sp. Its description in RNAcentral is "partial 16S ribosomal RNA". It matches the Rfam family "Bacterial small subunit ribosomal RNA", at positions 568 to 774 of the family's 1533-position model. The record is from RNAcentral. Lineage: Bacteria; Pseudomonadati; Pseudomonadota; Gammaproteobacteria; Aeromonadales; Succinivibrionaceae.
CAUGCAGGCGGUUAAACAAGUAGGAUGUGAAAUCCCCGGGCUCAACCUGGGAACUGCAUUCUAAACUGUUUAACUAGAGUAUUGCAGGGGGAGACGGAAUUCCAGGUGUAGCGGUGGAAUGCGUAGAUAUCUGGAAGGACACCAAAGGCGAAGGCAGUCUCCUGGGCAAAUACUGACGCUCAGAUGCGAAAGCGUGGGUAGCAAACA